UAGGGAAUCUUCCACAAUGGACGCAAGUCUGAUGGAGCAACGCCGCGUGUGUGAAGAAGGUUUUCGGAUCGUAAAGCUCUGUUGUUGGUGAAGAAGGAUAGAGGCAGUAACUGGUCUUUAUUUGACGGUAAUCAACCAGAAAGUCACGGCUAACUACGUGCCAGCAGCCGCGGUAAUACGUAGGUGGCAAGCGUUGUCCGGAUUUAUUGGGCGUAAAGCGAGCGCAGGCGGAAUGAUAAGUCUGAUGUGAAAGCCCACGGCUCAACCGUGGAACUGCAUCGGAAACUGUCAUUCUUGAGUGCAGAAGAGGAGAGUGGAAUUCCAUGUGUAGCGGUGGAAUGCGUAGAUAUAUGGAAGAACACCAGUGGCGAAGGCGGCUCUCUGGUCUGCAACUGACGCUGAGGCUCGAAAGCAUGGGUAGCGAACAGG
RNAcentral lists this ribosomal RNA (429 nucleotides) under Bacillota bacterium. RNAcentral's name for it is "Firmicutes bacterium partial 16S ribosomal RNA". It matches the Rfam family "Bacterial small subunit ribosomal RNA", at positions 355 to 776 of the family's 1533-position model. Lineage: Bacteria; Bacillati; Bacillota. The record is from RNAcentral.